ACUGGGACUCGCAAGUUUGGUUGCAUUUUCAUUUCAGACCAUGGCAACCAUCAGUAAACCAUGAGAAAGACAGCAUGCUGUUUUUUCAACAGAUCAGGACAAGAAGUAAGAUCGUUCUCAAUUUAUUUACUGACAUGCUAUCCUUGCAACUAACAAAAGUAGUUUUAUAAUGAUAGGUUCAUAAUUACAAAUUCUCAGUACGCAUCAGAAGCAGGACAAAGAAAACCUGGAAUUUUGAAGCGGUUGCUGCAACUCGGAGUCACUCGGGGAAAGAGCCUGUCUUCUGACCAUCUCAGCUCCAUAGAAAACCUUAAAGACAGCAAGGGAAAUGUAAGUAGCUGGCAAGAAAUUCAAAAUCCCACGUGAAAUUAGAGAUUAAGAUUUUGGAAGCAAUUUGUAGUUAACUCUUUAAGUCUUAACUGCAAUACUUCAUACAUUGAAGCCUUUAGAGUUCCUGCUAUGAUCUAGGGCACAACCUCCACUCAUCUAUGGCACAAAACCACUUAUCUACUAGUGUUUCAAUAUAGACAAGAGUGGCCAUGGAUUCCCUGUUGCAUUUUUAUUCCGUCUAUUUCUAGCGAUUGCCAAGCAGGCCCGUCCCCAAAUAGGGAACUAGUUACUUUGGCGGCAUGAUGAGGGUUGCAUGUACUUGAACAUCUAUUAACUCAGACGUGGAGGGGCACACAUUUUCGUAGCUGGACAGAACAGUUAUUGUUACACUGAAGUCUUUCAACAUAUGAACAUGUGGUAUAAUAAAAUAUCUCUCAACUCAAAGGAUGUUGCAGAAGUCAGCUUACCAAGAAUAUCUCUAAUAAUGUAUUUCACCCAACUAGUUAGGUGUCACUACAGUAUAUCAUCAACUAUAAGUUCAAUUGUACCCUCUGAUAGACAUUUCGGUCUCGUUCACUGGAUUUGUUUCUAAACAGAUUCAAAGGGUUACAGUUGCCAUGUUUAAGAAAUUGUACUGCACAAGUAUGUGUAGAUAAUACAACUGCUACAAUAGACUAAUCUAGAUCAAUUCAUAGGAGUUCAUCAGAAAAAAUUAAAAUAGUACAACUCAGUAUGCUUAGUUCUAUUGUCAGAGGGUAUAAAUUGGCAUUAGGCCAAUAAUCUGAAAGUGACAACAGAGCUAAUAAACCAAGGGCUCUUAGGGCUUUUGCAAGGAUGCAGUCCAAAUUCCAAUGGCACUCAACAUGUGCAAGAAACUAUGUCCAGAAGAUAUGGCAGGUUUACCUGAGUUGUACUGUGAGGAGCUAUAGGAAAACGGCCAUUGUAUUGGUCAAUUCAGUGCACAAUAGGAACGAUUUCUUGUUCAGCACGCGGUAGGGAAGCAUCCGUGUCAGAGACCUCUGAUAUUCAGUUUGACCAAAUUCAUGCAUUGCCAUACAUCGACUUGGCCACUCUCUCUCUCAGCAACAUCGACACGGCCAUGCGCCCGGAGGCGGAAUGCAGCACCAUGCACAUCACCCUGUCCGGGGGCGCCUCCAUCGGCUUCAUCAGCCCCUCUGCCUCCUCGACCUCGCCUGCC
This 1528-nucleotide long non-coding RNA is filed under the name Triticum aestivum (bread wheat). RNAcentral describes it as "long non-coding RNA (TAES_LNC001071)". Lineage: Eukaryota; Viridiplantae; Streptophyta; Magnoliopsida; Poales; Poaceae. The record is from RNAcentral.